GACGAACGCUGGCGGCGUGCCUAAUACAUGCAAGUUGAGCGCUGAAGGUUGGUACUUGUACCAACUGGAUGAGCAGCGAACGGGUGAGUAACGCGUGGGUAAUCUGCCUUUGAGCGGGGGACAACAUUUGGAAACGAAUGCUAAUACCGCAUAAAAACUUUAAACACAAGUUUUAAGUUUGAAAGAUGCAAUUGCAUCACUCAAAGAUGAUCCCGCGUUGUAUUAGCUAGUUGGUGAGGUAAAGGCUCACCAAGGCGAUGAUACAUAGCCGACCUGAGAGGGUGAUCGGCCACAUUGGGACUGAGACACGGCCCCAACUCCUACGGGAGGCAGCAGUAGGGAAUCUUCGGCAAUGGACGAAAGUCUGACCGAGCAACGCCGCGUGAGUGAAGAAGGUUUUCGGAUCGUAAAACUCUGUUGGUAGAGAAGAACGUUGGUGAGAGUGGAAAGCUCAUCAAGUGACGGUACCUACCCAGAAAGGGACGGCUAACUACGUG
This 497-nucleotide ribosomal RNA is filed under the name uncultured bacterium. RNAcentral's name for it is "partial 16S ribosomal RNA". It matches the Rfam family "Bacterial small subunit ribosomal RNA", at positions 28 to 507 of the family's 1533-position model. The record is from RNAcentral.